CUUCUCUUCCUGUGUAAGUUCUGGUUGUCCCCUCUCUUCCCUUCUCUUCCUGUGUAAGUUCUGGUAGUCCCCUCUCUUCCCUUCCCUUCCUGUGUAAGUUCUGGUUGUCCCCUCUCUUCCCUUCUCUUCCUGUGUAAGUUCUGUCCCUCUCUUCUCUUCCCUUCCUGUGUAAGUUCUGGUUGUCCCCUCUCUUCCCUUCCUGUGUAAGUUCUGGUUGUCCCCUCUCUUCCCUUCUCUUCCUGUGUAAGUUCUGGUAGUCCCCUCUCUUCUCUUCCCUUCCUGUAUAAGUUCUGGUAGUCCCCUCUCUUCCCUUCUCUUCCUGUGUAAGUUCUGGUAGUCCCCUCUCUUCUCUUCCCUUCCUGUGUAAGUUCUGGUAGUCCCCUCUCUUCCCUUCUCUUCCUGUGUAAGUUCUGGUAGUCCCCUCUCUUCUCUUCCCUUCCUGUGUAAGUUCUGUCCCCCUCUUCUCUUCCCUUCCUGUGUAAGUUCUGGUUGUCCCCUCUCUUCUCUUCCCUUCCUGUGUAAGUUCUGGUAGUCCCCUCUCUUCCCAUCCUGUGUAAGUUCUGGUAGUCCCCCCCUUCCUCUUCCCUUCCUGUGUAAGUUCUGGUUGUCCCCUCUCUUCCCUUCCCUUCCUGUGUAAGUUCUGGUAGUCCCCUCUCUUCCCAUCCUGUGUAAGUUCUGGUAGUCCCCUCUCUUCCCAUCCUGUGUAAGUUCUGGUAGUCCCCUCUCUUCCCUUCCCUUCCUGUGUAAGUUCUGGUAGUCCCCUCUCUUCCCUUCCCUUCCUGUGUAAGUUCUGGUAGUCCCCUCUCUUCCCUUCCCUUCCUGUGUAAGUUCUGGUAGUCCCGUCUCUUCUCUUCCCUUCCUGUGUAAGUUCUGGUAGUCCCCUCUCUUCCCUUCCCUUCCUGUGUAAGUUCUGGUAGUCCCCUCUCUUCCCUUCCUGUGUAAGUUCUGGUAGUCCCCUCUCUUCCCUUCUCUUCCCUUCCUGUGUAAGUUCUGGUUGUCCCUUCUCUUUCCUUCUCUUUCCUUCCUGUGUAAGUUCUGGUAGUCCCCUCUCUUCUCUUCCCUUCCUGUGUAAGUUAUGGUAGUCCCCUCUCUUCUCUUCCCUUCCUGUGUAAGUUAUGGUAGUCCCCUCUCUUCUCUUCCCUUCCAGUGUAAGUUCUGGUUGUCCCCUCUCUUCCCUUCCUGUGUAAGUUCUGGUUGUCCCCUCUCUUCCCUUCCUGUGUAAGUUCUGGUAGUCCCCUCUCUUCCCAUCCUGUGUAAGUUCUGGUAGUCCCCUCUCUUCCCUUCCUU
Oncorhynchus tshawytscha (Chinook salmon) is the source of this 1287-nucleotide long non-coding RNA. The record is from Ensembl. Lineage: Eukaryota; Metazoa; Chordata; Actinopteri; Salmoniformes; Salmonidae.